RNAcentral lists this long non-coding RNA (6243 nucleotides) under Mytilus galloprovincialis (Mediterranean mussel). The record is from RNAcentral. Lineage: Eukaryota; Metazoa; Mollusca; Bivalvia; Mytilida; Mytilidae.
UCUAAAUUACUUCCUGGAUUGUAUCAACAACAAGCAACAAGUUGCCAAAUACGUUUUUAAAUGCUACAUUUAAGACUUCCAGGUAUCACUAUAUCAAAUUAUAGUACAAUACUGCUGUAAAACAUCUUAUCUUCAAAAUGGGCGUGGCAAUCUCAUAUCACUGCUAAGGUUAAGAGCUAGAUCAAGCAAUUUCUUAAUUGGUUCAUAUUAUUUCCCAACUUUGGAAUGCAUGACAAUAAAAAUUUAAACACAUUUUAAACACUUUGAUUAUAUUGCCUCAAUCAUAGCUGCACAAAGUAAGGUGAUUCAACUACUUUUUUCUUCUUCGUUUUAUUAUUUAAGGUUAAAAUAAGCUGGAUAUUCUCUAUUUGACCGGCACUUAAAAAAAAGUGCUUUUAGCCGGCACUGAAUAAAACUCAUUGAUGUUAAGUAGAAAAUAAAAAGCUUAAUAAUAUUAAAAUCAUUUAUCACAAUAUCAUGAUAUCAAGCAUUAUGCAGUACAAGCGAAGAUGUGUAACUUAUUUGUAUCCGCCAUGCUAUAAAAAGUGUUAUGUAAAACCACCCAUCUUAAAAACAAUAUUAAAGUUGUUUGUACGAUUUCAAAAGGACACAUGAUUAAUACAUUUGCCUUGCAAAACCAAUUCUUUGCCUUUUUGUUUACUAGCACAAGAUAAAUUUGCCACUCCAAAGUUCAAAUUACACUGGCUUCCUUUGAACUGCAUCAGUGUGCAUAUUUAGGGUUCUUUUUUCUCUUUAUAAAGCGAUAGUCUCAUGCAUUUUCAAUAAUUAAAACAAUUUACAAUAGCCCAUUUGCAAUUACCGAUUUGAUUCUAUUAUGAACACUUUUAAGACUUUUGUUUUUUGUUUCUCUGUCCUAUAAUUUCUCUAUUUAUCUAUUUAUUUAUUGUAAGUGUGUAUGUUGUCAUUUAGUUAUAAUUAACCACGUAAUUAACACUGCCUUAAAGGUUUGGCAUGCCACAAACCAGUUCAACCUACCAUUUUUUAUAAAAUCCUGAUUUCUUGGACUUUUCUUAGAUAACACACAAUGCUUUUGGGUACUCUUUUUUUGAAGACCGAUGACAGUUUGGGUCAAACCUUUGGGCCUUCCACGUGUCUUCAUAUUUGGUGGAAGUAUAUAUGCGAAACACACGAUCCACAAAGUUCAACUGGAAUCCAAUAGGUGUUCUUCUGUGAGCAGUAACGUUUCUUCUUGCAAAACUAGUUUUCGUGAUUUUCGAAUAUUGAACAUUAUCAGUAUCAUUUUCUUUAUUGUCUGUUACAUUUAUAUCAUCAUGUAACAGAAUUUGUGACUGGCAGUGGCGGAUCCAGAAAUUUUCAUAAGUGGGGCCCACUGACUGACCUAAGAGGGGGCCCCCCCAGUCACGCUUCAAUGAUUCCCUAUAUAAGCAACACAUUUUUCCCAAAAAGGGGGGAGGCCUGCCCCCCCCCCCUAAAUCUGCCUCUGACUGGUAUCAUCAAAUAAUCUAUGUGAUGUCCUGACUGUGUUAAUCUUCCAACGAUCUGACACUGCUUCAACAAACAAAUUUUCGUGAUUAACUUCUCUUAGUUUGAGUAUAUGCCUACACGGGAGAAGCACACUUUGAUGAAAGAUACAAGAGUAACUUUUUGAAUUGACCCUCAUUUGGCCUUGGCUUGUUGUAGCUGUCCAUAUAAUCUCUCUUUCUGCUCCAGUUUUACUUCAGACCUGAGUGAAAACUGUUUCAGGAUAUAUGCCCAAGCAUAUGGUGUCACCAACUCUUGAUAUCUAUAUUCAGGUGAAUCAUUCCGGAGAAUGCUGAAACAGUCCUCUUUUGAAAUAUACCACUUGUCUUGAGGUCUCGUUCUGUUCGCAAAGAAUUUAAGGCGAUCAGAAAGUGUUCAGCAAAACUCUGGUAAUGUGGAGUAGUGAUGUGUAGUACAGAUUUUUUAUAAAUAUUUUUUAGUAAAAAAUAUAUUUAGUAAUGUUACAUACAAAUGUGUUUUCAUGCUUUUAAUUAAUAUUAUAAAGUUAUAAAUUAUUUAUUUAUGAACAUCUUCAAUAAUUUUUUUUAUUGUACUAUAUUUUUAAUGCUUGAUAUUAUGAUAAAAUGAUUUUAAAUUAUUAUUAAUCUUUUUAAUGUCAUUAAUCACAUCAAUGAACAGUUUUAUUCAGUGCCGGCUAAAUAGCAAAUUUGCUAAAAAUAGCAGCAUAGGAAUUCAUUUAUUAAUGGAUGCUUACUAAAACUAAAGUCCUUUAUGGAAAAACAGGUGCUGUCAGCUAGAAACUAAAAGGUGUACUUGAAUAGCUCCAUAGUAGAGAUUGUUUCAACUGUGAUACAUUGUAAUUAUAGUCAAUUUAAUUAUUGUCAGUUUGAAGUCUGGUAGUAAUGCAGUAAGGUCAAAUAAAAAAUGAUAUGUGUUUCCUAUUACCCUACCCUCCCUAUGUUUCAAGCUCAAAUACAGCAUAGGGCCUAAAGUUUUUUUUGACUAUUUUCAAUAAGCGCUGUUAAUGUCAGAAUGUCCCUCCCAUAGACUCAAUUAUAGCUGCACAUUUAACAUGUUUAAGGUGAUACAACUAUUUUUACAGUUUUCAUUAUUUAAGGUUGAAAUAUUGUUAAUUGUCAAUGUCAUGCCCUAAGCAACCUUUAACAUGGAACAAACAGGUGCUGUCAGCUGAGUUACUAAAUAACAAACGUAAUGGUGUACUUGAAUAGCUCCAACAUGUCCCAUUUAGUAAAUGUUUUUACAUAUAUAUAUAUAUAUAUGUUUAAGGGCAAUACAUGUAUAUGUCCAGUAUACACAUAGAUACUGGCAAUAAACAUGAUAAAGGCACUGAUUGACUUAAAUCAGAUUCCUCGACAUCUUUAUAUAUCAGGUGGUCCCUGAAGAAAAACAGCUUGAUCCUCAAUACUUCAAAUCCCUUAGCCACCCCUUUUCGAGAAAUCUGUUUAAUUUUAAUAGCUAUUUAGCAGGUUGCAAGCAUCUCCAAGUUAUUGAUGUCUGGUAGUAAUGCAGUAAGGCAAAAUAAUAAAGGAGAGUUUUUCCUAUUAUAUUUUACAUACCAACCCUCCUUAUUUCAUGUAUUUUUUAAGCCCCAAAAAAGCAUACGUACCUUAAAGGAUUUUUUUUUUCAUUUUCAAUAAGUGCUGUUAUUAAUAAUUCUCAGAAUUUCCCUCCCAUAGACUCCAUGUAAAAAAAUGGUAAAAUAUUUAAAAAUUCCUCUAUCUACCUUAAUUUAAAAAAAAAAUCAUGGUAUUUUCCAAGCUUUUAUUUCUGACAAUCUAAGAAAUGAGAAAAUCAUAAAACAUAUAAUUCCUUAAUUCUGAAGGUUUUUUUUGCCUCUGUGUGUUAUAUUCCUCACAAGGGAACACAUUUUUAUCAAAACUAUUGUCCCAUUAUCAUGAUUAUCAUAACAUUAGGACAAUCACUUCAAAGAACAGAGAGAAUCAUAAUUAAUGUACAUUAAGAAUUAAUAAUUUGACCUAAGGAUGCUAAGUCAACUACAAAGAAGCAGGAAUUAAAGCAUGGAUUUAUUUGUCUCGGCUACAUGUAAUAAAUAGACAGAUGAACUACUAAAAUGAAAGUUAAGAUGAUCAAAAUUGAUGAAUGUUAGACUGUAUGAUUUGGAUAUUUGACUUAAAAGAUAAAUAAUAUUCUUAAAAAUGUAAAAACGUUAAUGUGUCUUCUCUUUAACUGUUCUUGUAUGUAUAAACAUGUAUUAUCAUAACAAAAAAUUCGAAUUUUACAGGGCACUUUCUGUAGUCUUAUAUGUGAACUAACUUGACCAACAAUUCUGCUUAUUAUUUCAGAUACUGAAAGAAAAAAAGAAGCUUAACAUCACUUCAAAGACUGUGCUAAUUACAAAAAAGUGGUUACUAAUGAUAUAGUUUAGCUCCAAUCUGUUAGAAGUGCAGAAGUUUAUGACAUUUAGAUUUUCACAAGUAUAGAAAAUCAAUUAUUGAAGCUUAAAUUUCAACGAGAGUGAAAAUAGAACAAUGCUUCCUCCACUUGCUGUAUUUGAUUAUUUCAGGAAACUGUUUACAUCACUUGAAACAUUGUCCAACAGUUCCAACACAGAACUGGACCAAACAAAACAAGUCCAUCUCCGUGCUUUAAACUACCUCGGAAUUUCAUAUGCUUUAGGAUACUCUCUACUGUUAUUUGUGGUGACUUUCUUUGUGACAAUUCCAUUUGCCUACGAAGACGGUUCAGGAAAUCGUGAUGAAGAAUCCAUUUCAUCCAUACGUUAUCUGACAAUUUACAUCUAUUUCAAUUUCAUAGCUAAUUAUGUUAUGUUGCGAUAUGGAGCCAAGAAAUCAAUCUAUUGUACUCCAAGAGAUUUGCCCCUUUACAGUGCCACAACAAGAGAAGACUGGAAGACGUGUAAACAGUGUAAUCAGGAUGUACCAGAAAGAACACAUCAUUGCCCUCUGUGUAAUAUGUGUGUAUUGAAGCGUGACCAUCAUUGUUUCUUUGUAGGAUGCUGCGUUGGCUUUCACAACCAGCGAUAUUUCAUUUGUUGUGCUUUCCAUACCUUGCUUUGCUGUGCAUUAUCAUUUUAUUUCAUGAUGCUGUAUUUGAGUGCCCACUAUGUUACAUUUCUUGGGCCAGAAUUCUUUAAAUACUUUUUACCAUAUGCACUUGUUGUUUGGUUAUUUGGGAGUACCACGUUUGGCAUAUUUUUUUACAUUUUGAUAUUUUAUCUUAACAUAACUACACUUUUAGCUUCAAUAUUUUUCUUUAUAUGGCAGUUUAAUUUAGUUAAGGGGGGUCAGACAAGUUAUGAGUUUGUUAAAGGAAAGAAAACUUACCAAACGAACCUGUUAACAAGUAUUCGAUCAGUGUUUGGUCCAUUCUGGAUUUUAAAUUUCAUAUUUCCAAUGCCAUGUUUUAAGAAUGAAGGAGAUGGAAAAACCUGGAUGAAUGGGAAUACAAAAUAUUUGUAAAAAAUCAUAAACAUGCUGAUAUAUUUAGAAUUAUAUUUCAUAUGGUCUCAAACAUUGAUAAUUACAUGUGUUCAGAUCCACACAUACAUGUAAACCUGUUCAGUACUAUAAUUCAUAUCCUUAAUUUGAAUUUGAAUUUUUUGAAAAUAUGAACAAUUUGUCAAUUAUUCAUUUAAAAAACUUUAUUUAAAAUUUCUUAAAAAGAUAUUUAUUUUUUGUCUGCUGUGUUUAUCAUUAUGUUUAGUUUUAGGAAAUGCAUUUUAUAUAUACAAAAUCUACUUACCUCUAUUGUGUAUAAAACUGACAUCAGAACUACUCACAUCAUUAUAGCUUAAUUGAUUCCCCAAAAUAAUACUACAGAUAGCUUCUAGCUAUGGUUCUCGUUUAUUCUAUAUAUUAUGCAGUGUUAAAAUGAUUUGACAUUUAUUUUUAGAUUUUUACCAGAGAAACAACUACUAGUAGUAAUGCUGUUAAAAAAGAGAGCAAUUGAGUCCCCCCUAAUUGGGACAUUUAAACACCAUGUAAGGAGAUGGGGAGCAAUAACCAUGUUUGUCACUAAAACACUUGAAAUUUUAAUCCUCAGUAUAUUUUCGUUUGAAUGAAAUAUUUAUUAAAUGAAAAACAAUUAAAUAAACAACAGAAAAUGCCUUCAAAUUACCUUCAAAUUACCUUCAAAAACUUUUUUUUUUAAAUCUGUAGAGUUAUCUCCCAUUUAAUUUUAAAACUAUUUGUUCUCUGUUUAAUAAUUCAAAUGUUGCUUCACUGUUAAUACUGUAACGGGAAUGAGUUUUCCCAGGUUCACGGAAUAUUAGAAAACAGAAUACGUCGUUAAUAAUAAUAUAGAUUUAAUAUCAGCCAAAUAAUUUAAGCACAGUUUACAAUGAAUAAUAAUACUUUAAAUGUUUAGAAUGGCGAAAUGAGACAUAAUGGUGGUUACAAACGUAGUCUUAAUAAAAAUAUCAACCUGAAGAAGGUGAUGUUCAGUGUUUUCUUUCUCAGUCAGUUCGUAAGUGCAGAACGCAAAACUAUAGUCUGACGUCAUCAGACCGGCACGGGCCGGUCCUACCGGAAGAAGACCGGUAGGCCCGGUAACCUCAUAACUAGCUACGGCCAGUACGGCAGUUUAGAAGCUAUUAUACUUUUUCAAAGUGGUUUUUAAUAUGAAUAAUUUAUAAGGUAAAACCAACCACCAUUACAAUACUAUUGUCCUUUAGAAAUUUUACAUUAAUUUUAUUGUUGAUAAAAGGAUUAUGUGAACAGACUUCUACUGAAUGAUUGAAUGUUUUAAUUAGAUUUAUUUAUAUUAAUGUUACUCAAA